Molecule: ribosomal RNA, 479 nt
Filed under: Streptococcus cristatus
Lineage: Bacteria; Bacillati; Bacillota; Bacilli; Lactobacillales; Streptococcaceae
Description: bacterial SSU rRNA
Rfam family: Bacterial small subunit ribosomal RNA
Source: RNAcentral
GACGAACGCUGGCGGCGUGCCUAAUACAUGCAAGUAGAACGCUGAAGGAGGAGCUUGCUCUUCUGGAUGAGUUGCGAACGGGUGAGUAACGCGUAGGUAACCUGCCUGGUAGCGGGGGAUAACUAUUGGAAACGAUAGCUAAUACCGCAUAAUAUUGACUAUUGCAUGAUAGUCAAUUGAAAGGUGCAAAUGCACCACUACCAGAUGGACCUGCGUUGUAUUAGCUAGUUGGUGGGGUAACGGCUCACCAAGGCGACGAUACAUAGCCGACCUGAGAGGGUGAUCGGCCACACUGGGACUGAGACACGGCCCAGACUCCUACGGGAGGCAGCAGUAGGGAAUCUUCGGCAAUGGACGGAAGUCUGACCGAGCAACGCCGCGUGAGUGAAGAAGGUUUUCGGAUCGUAAAGCUCUGUUGUAAGAGAAGAACGAGUGUGAGAGUGGAAAGUUCACACUGUGACGGUAUCUACCAGAAAGGA